This 274-nucleotide ribosomal RNA is filed under the name uncultured bacterium. RNAcentral's name for it is "partial 16S ribosomal RNA". It matches the Rfam family "Bacterial small subunit ribosomal RNA", at positions 523 to 796 of the family's 1533-position model. The record is from RNAcentral.
AGACGGAGGGGGCUAGCGUUGUUCGGAAUUACUGGGCGUAAAGGGCGCGUAGGCGGAUUGUCAAGUCAGAGGUGAAAGCCCUGGGCUCAACCCGGGAACUGCCUUUGAAACUAACAGUCUUGAGUCCGAGAGAGGAUGGCGGAAUUCCCAGUGUAGAGGUGAAAUUCGUAGAUAUUGGGAAGAACACCAGUGGCGAAGGCGGCCAUCUGGCUCGGUACUGACGCUGAGGCGCGAAAGCGUGGGGAGCAAACAGGAUUAGAAACCCGGGUAGUCC